Molecule: long non-coding RNA, 282 nt
Organism: Cydia fagiglandana
Lineage: Eukaryota; Metazoa; Arthropoda; Insecta; Lepidoptera; Tortricidae
Exons: 4
Source: RefSeq, a predicted model, not a curated record
GAUUUACUGAAGGCGGUUAUUCUCAUCUCUAUUUUGAGGAAAUGUCAGCCAUACAAAGGUUCCCCUCAUGUUCCGGAGUUCGCGAAAAAUGAUCCGUUUUUGGAGCCGCCGCUGGAUCCAAAAUUAAAGGGUUGGCUUCCAUUUGUAAAGAGCGAUGACCAUGCAUACGAUGAUUACUAUAAUAACGGCUACAAUAAACCAAGAAAGCCACCACCACCACCGGAACCGGAAGGGGCCGAUAAUAUCCGUGAUUUAUAUUCCACAUUAAAUGAAUUGGAUAAG